CCUACGGGUGGCUGCAGUGGGGAAUAUUGGGCAAUGGGCGCAAGCCUGACCCAGCAACGCCGCGUGAAGGAAGAAGGCCCUCUGGUUGUAAACUUCUUUUUUUCGGGACGAAACAUAUGACGGUACCGAAUGAAUAAGCCACGCCUAAAUACGUGCACGCAGUCGCGGUAUUACGUAGGUGGCAAGCGUUAUCCGGAUUUACUGGGUGUAAAGGGCGUGUAGGUGGGAGAGCAAGUCAGACGUGAAAUUCCAGGGCUCAACCCUGGAACUGCGUUUGAAACUGUUAGUCUUGAGUGAUGGAGAGGCAGGCGGAAUUCGGGGUGUAGCGGUGAAAUGCGUAGAUAUACGGAGGAACACCAGUGGCGAAGGCGGCCUGCUGGACAUUAACUGACGCUGAGGCGCGAAAGCGUGGGGAGCAAACAGGAUUAGAUACCCGAGUAGUC
RNAcentral lists this ribosomal RNA (443 nucleotides) under uncultured bacterium. RNAcentral describes it as "partial 16S ribosomal RNA". It matches the Rfam family "Bacterial small subunit ribosomal RNA", at positions 338 to 795 of the family's 1533-position model. The record is from RNAcentral.